This 100-nucleotide ribosomal RNA is filed under the name uncultured eukaryote. RNAcentral's name for it is "partial 18S ribosomal RNA". The record is from RNAcentral.
ACGUGGGGUGACCUGUCUGGUUAAAUCCGAUAACGCGUGAGACCCUGGAAUGCAAUUUUGACGGUGCUCGACGAGAGUAAGGAAGCACGGGUCGAUAACA